GACGAACGCUGGCGGCGUGCUUAACACAUGCAAGUCGAACGGAAAGGCCCCUUUGGGGGUACUCGAGUGGCGAACGGGUGAGUAACACGUGAGUAACCUGCCCUUGACUUCGGGAUAACUUCAGGAAACUGGGGCUAAUACCGGAUAGGAAUCCUUGCUGCAUGGUGGGGGUUGGAAAGCUUCGGCGGUUUUGGAUGGACUCGCGGCUUAUCAGCUUGUUGGUGGGGUAGUGGCUUACCAAGGCUUUGACGGGUAGCCGGCCUGAGAGGGCGACCGGCCACAUUGGGACUGAGAUACGGCCCAGACUCCUACGGGAGGCAGCAGUGGGGAAUAUUGCACAAUGGGCGGAAGCCUGAUGCAGCAACGCCGCGUGCGGGAUGACGGCCUUCGGGUUGUAAACCGCUUUCAGCAGGGGCGAAGCUUGUGGUGACGGUACCUGCAGAAGAAGCACCGGCGAACUACG
This 463-nucleotide ribosomal RNA is filed under the name uncultured bacterium. RNAcentral's name for it is "partial 16S ribosomal RNA". It matches the Rfam family "Bacterial small subunit ribosomal RNA", at positions 28 to 505 of the family's 1533-position model. The record is from RNAcentral.